UACCUUUCAUUCACACAGGUAGGUGCCAUGAGUAUGAUGAUGAUACAAGACAAGAAUGCACAUGGAAUUGAAGUUCAAGGAUCUUUUUAUCUUAUAUACAGCUACUUUUGAUGUGUUUGUUUUAUCUUUUUUCUUGUAUAUGGACGCUAUGGUCUAGACAGAAAAAUGCAGACAUAUGGUGUGCUACAAAAAUAUGUUUUGUACCUAUGAUUAUCUACCAACUUCCCCCAUAGUUUUUUUUUCCUUUUUUAUGUGCUAUGCCGUUCAUGCUAAAUAGCAGAUGUCAUACUUCCUUUUUUCAUGUUCCCAGAACAGUGGGGUUUAUGAUAUAUGGCAUCUGCAAAAAAUGUCAUGCCACUUGUGUUGUUAUCCUUGUUAUCUAGUUUGCACACAUUUUUUCUCUCCUUUUUUUUUGCAACUUUUAAUUGUGACGCAGCAACUUGUCAUUUGUGAACUAGCAACUUCUCCACUCUAGAGUACACAGUUUUUUUUUCUUUUAUGUGCUAUGCAGUUCAUGGUAAAUAGCAGAUGCCAUACUUAUUUUUUUCAUGUUCCCAGAACAGUGGGGGUUCAUGAUAUAUGGCAUCUGCAAAAAAUGUCAUGCCACUUGUGUUGCUAUCUACUUUGCACACAUUUUUUUCCCUUUUUCUUGCAACUUUUAAAUGUGACGCAACAACUUGCCAUUUGUGGAGUAGCAACUUCUCCACUAUAGGGUUGCAACUUUUGACCAAAAUAAACAGGCUCCCCUGCAACUUUUUUUGCUAGGGGGGGAGGGGGGCAUGAAUCUGUCUAUUUUAUAGAGUUUGCAACAUGACGCUUUUUUUUUGCACUUUGAUGCUCUCACGCAACUUUAUUGAAGAACACAAUAACUUAGCACACUGUGACUGGGAACUAUCAACGUUAAAAGCGGCAACUUUCUUAGUAAACCCAAAAAUUGAGCCCAAAAUAGAGCUAGCUAGUAUCUUUUCUCGGGGAACUUGAUUUUUUUUUCUCAUCCAAGCAACUAACCAGAACUUGCAACUCACAAGAUCGGACUUGCAAUUUCCUGCAACUUUACAACUUGUAGGCACAAAACGGACUAAAAAAGAGGGCAAGCAAGAGGGGAGAACAUGAUCCCGCACAGGCUGCUUUGGGUAGGAGGGAGGAAGGGACGCACUUUUUUUAGGGCAGUUUCUGCUGGUUUUUAGCGUUGCAGGGUGGUCGCCAUUGCCAACGCUAGGCCAGAUCCACCGUUUGCUUUCGU
RNAcentral lists this long non-coding RNA (1243 nucleotides) under Brachypodium distachyon (stiff brome). RNAcentral's name for it is "long non-coding RNA (BDIS_LNC003247)". The record is from RNAcentral. Lineage: Eukaryota; Viridiplantae; Streptophyta; Magnoliopsida; Poales; Poaceae.